RNAcentral lists this ribosomal RNA (407 nucleotides) under uncultured bacterium. Its description in RNAcentral is "partial 16S ribosomal RNA". It matches the Rfam family "Bacterial small subunit ribosomal RNA", at positions 30 to 526 of the family's 1533-position model. The record is from RNAcentral.
AUUGAACGCUGGCGGCAGGCCUAACACAUGCAAGUCGAGCGGAGCGGCGGACGGGUGAGUAAUGCCUAGGAAUCUGCCUGGUAGUGGGGGAUAACGUUCGGAAACGGGAGCUAAUACCGCAUCCUAUCAGAUGAGCCUAGGUCGGCAUAGCUAGUUGGUGGGGUAAAGGCCUCACAAGGCGACGAUCCGUAACUGGUCUGAGAGGAUGAUCAGUCACACUGGAACUGAGACACGGUCCAGACUCCUACGGGAGGCAGCAGUGGGUAAUAUUGGACAAUGGGCGCAAGCCUGAUGCAGCCAUGCCGCGUGUAUGAAGAAGGCCUUCGGGUUGUAAAGUACUUUCAGUGAGGAGGCGUUACCCGCAGAAGAAGCACCGGCUAACUCCGUGCCAGCAGCCGCGGUAAUAC